This 1177-nucleotide ribosomal RNA is filed under the name uncultured bacterium. RNAcentral's name for it is "bacterial SSU rRNA". It matches the Rfam family "Bacterial small subunit ribosomal RNA", at positions 202 to 1399 of the family's 1533-position model. The record is from RNAcentral.
AAAGCAGCAAUGCGCUCAGGGAGGGGCUCGCGUCCUAUUAGUUAGUUGGCGGGGUAACGGCCCACCAAGGCGAUGACGGGUAGCCGGUCUGAGAGGAUGUCCGGCCACACUGGAACUGAGACACGGCCCAGACUCCUACGGGAGGCAGCAGUGGGGGAUAUUGCACAAUGGGCGAAAGCCUGAUGCAGCAAUGCCGCGUGAGGGAAGAAGGUUUUCGGAUUGUAAACCUCUGUCCCUGAUGACGAAGACAGUGACGGUAAUCAGGGAGGAAGCCACGGCUAACUACGUGCCAGCAGCCGCGGUAAUACGUAGGUGGCAAGCGUUGUCCGGAAUUACUGGGUGUAAAGGGAGCGCAGGCGGGAAGGCAAGUCAGCGGUGAAAACUAUGGGCUCAACCCAUAGACUGCCGUUGAAACUGUUUUUCUUGAGUGAAGUAGAGGUAGGCGGAAUUCCGAGUGUAGCGGUGAAAUGCAUAGAUAUUCGGAGGAACACCAGUGGCGAAGGCGGCCUACUGGGCUUUUACUGACGCUGAGGCUCGAAAGUGUGGGGAGCAAACAGGAUUAGAUACCCUGGUAGUCCACACCGUAAACGAUGAUUGCUAGGUGUGGGGGGUCUGACCCCCUCCGUGCCGGAGUUAACACAAUAAGCAAUCCACCUGGGGAGUACGGCCGCAAGGUUGAAACUCAAAGGAAUUGACGGGGGCCCGCACAAGCAGUGGAGUAUGUGGUUUAAUUCGAAGCAACGCGAAGAACCUUACCAGGUCUUGACAUCCAACUAACGAAGUAGAGAUACAUUAGGUGCCCUUCGGGGAAAGUUGAGACAGGUGGUGCAUGGUUGUCGUCAGCUCGUGUCGUGAGAUGUUGGGUUAAGUCCCGCAACGAGCGCAACCCUUGCCAUUAGUUGCUACGCAAGAGCACUCUAAUGGGACCGCCAUCGACAAGAUGGAGGAAGGUGGGGACGACGUCAAAUCAUCAUGCCCUUUAUGACCUGGGCUACACACGUACUACAAUGGUUGUUAACAGAGGGAAGCAAUACCGCGAGGUGGAGCAAAUCCCUAAAAACAAUCUCAGUUCAGAUUGCAGGCUGCAACUCGCCUGCAUGAAGUCGGAAUUGCUAGUAAUCGCGGAUCAGCAUGCCGCGGUGAAUACGUUCCCAGGCCUUGUACACACCGCCCGUCA